RNAcentral lists this long non-coding RNA (3405 nucleotides) under Solanum lycopersicum (tomato). RNAcentral describes it as "long non-coding RNA (SLYC_LNC000513)". The record is from RNAcentral. Lineage: Eukaryota; Viridiplantae; Streptophyta; Magnoliopsida; Solanales; Solanaceae.
AAUAUACAUACCCGGCCCUCUAGUGAGGAACUCGGUGACAUAUGCAAGAAACUCCGCACGAACAUAACCCGGCCCGGGACUCGGUGAAAUGAUAAAUGACUCUAUGCACGAGUAGAAUAUUAUGAGCAACCAUAUGCAAUUAAAAUCAUUUCUUAUAACUCAAUAGAACAAUCAACGUGAACCAGCAAGGAGUAUUACCAAAGUAUAAUGUUUUAUCAAGAUUAUGAACCUUUAAUACGAUAUGAAAACGUAAAAUUUCAAUGACUCUAUGAAGCAUUACCAUAGAUAUUAGAGAUCAUCAUAGCCUUAGACAUAACCGAUAUAUAGAGGAAUAAUUGUGGAAGCAAGAAUAUACAUCACCUAGACGCUUUAGAGGUAAGUAUCAAAUCUGUCCGUUAUUCGCUUAUUUUUAAAAGUCAUGCCAAACAAAGAAAGAAGGGACAGCGUUACAUACCGUAUAAUUGAGCCGCACGUCCAAUAUUUACUGCUCAAGCUAUUAAUCUAUAACAAGCAACAAUCGUGCCGCAAUUAGAUAAACAUCGUGCUUUACUUUCUUGUAAGCUAGCUAAUAAUCUAACGGAAAUUCGGCAGCACCUCCCCUAUUUUCCUUACUUCGUCCCAAUCCGACAACAAUCCAAAUUAUCCACAGCAAUACCAAUAACACAUAUAACCCAAAGAAUCAUAUAAACAGCCCAAGCACCAACAUGACACCACUAAUAAUCCGAUUAUGGUUUCCAUUCAUACUUAGCACAUUCAAUAGCUAAAACAAACCUCCUAAGCUACUGGUCACGCCCCCUUCUUAAAAUUAAUGGAUAAUUAACAAGGGUAUUCUAAAGAAUUAGCACACCAAACAAGGAGAUUACUAACCAAAUUAUUUGCAGCUGCUAGCCAAGAGUUGCAGGGUUGGUUUCUCCAUUUCCAUGGCUGCCUAAGACAAGUGGUGAAGAAGAAGAUGAUAUGCAGCAAUGCAUCUCACCACUUUAUAUAGCAUGGAGUGGAUUUCUCCACCUCAUUUAAUAGUAUGAAGUGGAGGCAUGCCCCCUCUACACCUGUCCACUAAGGCCAGCCCACAAUCUGAUCCCUUUUUAAUUUUUGCCUUGAGUGGUGGGGCCCAUUGGAUUAAAUCAAUCCAAAUUAGCCACUAAUUAAUCCCUCACUUAAAGUUAAUGGCACUUACAUUAACCAACUCAUACUUAAUAUCACAUUUGGAAAUAACAUCCUUGCCUAAUAUUUCUUUACGUCUUCUAGAUCACGAUGCGCACUACGUAUAAAAAAAACGAGGCAUAACAUCCUUUUCCCCUUAGGAACAUUCGUCCUCGAAUGUUAAGUUAGCGUUUUGCAAAAAAAAAUUCCAGCGAGGUCUCUCUAAAAGUUAUACCUAUCAACCUGCAUUCCGUAACUUACAGAUGCCUCACAGCUACAUAAUCUCAUUAUCUAUCAAUAUAGUCAAGCUAGGAAUUGAAUUACCUGCAGGUACGGGGAACAAGUAAGGAUACUUAUUUUUCAUUUCAUCUUCCGCUUCCCAAGUCAUCUCCUCCCUAUUGUUAUUUUGCCACAACACUUUGACGGAAGCCACAUCCUUAGUACGUAACCUUCUAACCUGACGAUCAAGUAUAGCUACGGGUUUCUCCUCAUAUGACAACUCAUCUGUUUCCUGAAUAUCAUCUACAGGGAAUACUCUAGAAGGAUCACCAAUACAUUUACGUAGCAUCGAUACAUGGAAGACUGGAUGUACCGCCUCCAAAUCAGAUGGUAGAUCCAACUCAUAGGCAACCUUGCCUAUCCUACGAACAAUCUGAUAAGGCCCAAUGUAUCUCGGACUGAGCUUCCCCUUCCUGCCGAAUCUUAUCACACCCCUCAUGGGUGAUACCUUCAGGAAUACCCAGUCACCAAUCUGAAACUCCAAAUCUCGACGCCGAUUAUCUGCAUAUGACUUCUGUCGACUCUGGGCUGCUAAUAAUCUUUCUUGAAUAAGCUUUACCUUGUCAACAGCUUGCUGAAUCACAUCCGGGCCUAUUAACUUAGUCUCGCCAACAUCAAACCAACCAAUAGGUGAUCUGCACUUCCUCCCAUAUAAGGCCUCGUACGGUGCCAUCUGGAUACUAGAAUGGUAGCUAUUAUUAUAGGCAAACUCAAUGAGCGGCAAGUGGUCAUCACAGCUGCCUUUGAAGUCAAAAAUACAGGCCCGCAACAUAUCUUCUAGUGUUUGAAUAGUACGCUCAGCCUGACCAUCAGUCAGAGGGUGAAAUGUUGUGCUAAGGUUCACCUGUGUCCCCAACCCCUUCUGAAACGAUCUCCAAAAGUUGGCUGUAAAUUGAGCUCCUCUGUCUGAUAUAAUGGACGUGGGAACCCCAUGAAGUCUCACUAUCUCCCUGACAUAUAACCUCGCAUAAUCUUUAGCCGAAUAAGUAGUCCUGACUGGAAGAAAAUGGGCCGAUUUCGUCAGCCUAUCUACAAUAACCCAUAUAGAGUCAUACUUCCGUUGAGUGCGAGGUAAGCCUGUAAUGAAGUCCAUAUUAAUCAUCUCCCAUUUCCAUGUCGGGAUCUCUAUCUCCUGUAAUAAUCCACCAGGCUUUUGAUGUUCGAUCUUGACUUGUUGACAAUUUGGGCACUGAGCAACAAACUCUGCUAUGUCCUUUUUCAUGCCAUCCCACCAAUAUAAGCAUUUGAGGUCAUGAUACAUUUUUGUUGACCCUGGGUUAAUAGAAUAACGGGCAGAGUGUGCCUCUCCCAUAACUUGCCGUCGUAGCCCCGCAGUAUCGGGUACACACAAUCUGCCUUCAUAUCGUAACACUCCAUCAGGUGUAACCUUAAAUGAAGUCUUUUCCUUUUGAAGAGCUCCAUCUCUAUACUUUGCCAGAAUAGGGUCCUUGUAUUGGUGUCUCUUUACCUCAUCUAUGAUUGAGGACUUAGCAAUCUCUCGAAUAGAAACUCCACUAUCUUCCGAAUUAGCUAGACGGACUCCAAGGAUGGAUAGCCGCCGAAUCUCCCGAACCAUAUCCCUCCUUUCUGGUUGUACAUCUGUCAAGCUACCCAUGGACUUACGGCUAAGAGCAUCUGCUAUAACAUUCGCUUUCCCUGGAUGAUAUAAAAUAUCAACAUAACUAUCCUCAUCACCAAUCAUAUAUAUAAUAUACAUAUCAGGCCCUCUAGUGAGGAACUCGGUGACAUAUGCAAGAAACACCGCACGAACAUUACCCGGCCCGGGACUCGGUGAAAUGAUAAAUGACUCUAUGCACGAGCAGAAUAUUAUGAGCAACCAUAUGCAAUUAAAAUCAUUUCUUAUAACUCAAUAGAACAAUCAACGUGAACCAGCAAGGAGUAUUACCAAAGAUUAAUGUUUUAUCAAGAUUAUCAACCUUUAAUACGAUAUGAAAACGUAAAAUUUCAAUGACUCUAAGAAGC